RNAcentral lists this ribosomal RNA (1344 nucleotides) under Triticum aestivum (bread wheat). RNAcentral describes it as "partial small subunit ribosomal RNA". Lineage: Eukaryota; Viridiplantae; Streptophyta; Magnoliopsida; Poales; Poaceae. The record is from RNAcentral.
AUGGGUGGCGGGGUUAAAGCCAAGGAGGAGUACCGCUUUGGCUCGUCCAAGGUUUCUCCUGCUCCUGCUGAAGAAGUGGCUGCUGCUGCCGCUGCCAAGGGGAAGAAAUCCAGGGCGAAGAAGGCUGCUGCUCCUGCUCCUGCUGCUGCCGCUGCCAAGGGGAAGAAAUCCAGGGCGAAGAAGGCUGCGUCGCGGAUAGACUUGGACAAGGCUGAAGCCGUUGUGUAUAAAGCCGAUAUGAAGGCGAGGGAGUCUGCCAGGGUAGCCAAGGCCAAGGCCGAGGAGGCCGAAGAAGCUGCCAGGAUAGCCAAGGCCAAGGCCGAGGAGGCUGAAGAAGCCGCCCGGGCCGCCAAGGCGGAUGCUGAGGCGGCCGCCAAGGCGAUAGAAGCCGCAGACGAGGCGAUGCUUCUCUAUGAGAAGGAGAUGGAGUGGGCGCAGUGCGAGGAAGAAUUGGACGCCUCCAUGUUCCGCGGCCGCUGGAACCAACAGCACGCCCGCCACGGCGCCACCUUCCUGGAAAUCACAUCUAUCCCACCUAUGCGUUACACUUACCCUACUCCCGAGGAGAAGGUCUACAUCAAGACCGCGGAAACUCUGCAGAUCGUUUCUCUCAAAAUCGUGUCGAUCAAUGACGACUCUUUACGCUGGCCACUGCAAGUGUUUGGUAUGGUUGCCGUGCGUGAUAUCUUGGAUCACAAGCGCAACAUUAUCUUCCAGCGACAGAGGAAUAACUGCCAAAUCAUCAAUAAGAAUGAUCCGUAUCUAGCAUUGACAGGCCCAAGCCGUGCUGUUGCUGUGUCGAUGGAACCUUCGCACAUUGAGGUUUCGCUGAAAGUGAAGGGGACCACUAAAUCUGAUGAUAAAGACCUAAGCGAGCUAGUUUUGAAUUUUAGAUCUGGAUGCGUGCUUAGUGACGUUUACCCUAGCAGGAUUAGCACAAUUGAAUUUAAAUACGGUCACAUUAUGUGCGCUGUGGAGGCCACGAUCCGCAUAAAAGUCACUGGUGGGUCUUGGCCAGAUGGUUUUCGAGGUAUGUUUACUGCCUACAACACUGGAGCUGAUGACCUGAAAGUCAAGUUACUUGAUUUUGGAGAUGGUGGAUUGCCUGUUGGUGCUGAUGGCAUGGUCAAGCUCUCACGCAGUGUGGUUUCCGUUGACCUUGAGGAGAUGCUCAAAGUCUCUGCCAUGGCAUAUCCUAUUAACGAUGAUGAAGUUGCUGAUAGCAGUGAGGUAGCCUUAAAACCUGAGAUGGCUGGUAUAACUCCCCCAGGUUUUGUGCUGACGGUUGGCUCAUGUAGUAUGGAAGUGAGUGUUGCCUGGUCCCUUUUCCGUCGUGGAUUCUGA